RNAcentral lists this ribosomal RNA (253 nucleotides) under uncultured bacterium. Its description in RNAcentral is "partial 16S ribosomal RNA". It matches the Rfam family "Bacterial small subunit ribosomal RNA", at positions 524 to 776 of the family's 1533-position model. The record is from RNAcentral.
UACGUAGGGGGCUAGCGUUGUCCGGAAUCAUUGGGCGUAAAGCGCGCGUAGGCGGCCAGAUAAGUCCGGUGUGAAAGUCACAGGCUCAACCUGUGAAUGCCGCUGGAAACUGUCUGGCUAGAGUCCGGAAGGGGCGAGUGGAAUUCCUGGUGUAGCGGUGAAAUGCGCAGAUAUCAGGAAGAACACCCGUGGCGAAGGCGGCUCUCUGGAACGCAACUGACGCUGAGACGCGAAAGCGUGGGGAGCAAACAGG